UGCAGUCGAACGGAAACAUGUCUAGCUUGCUAGAUGAUGUCGAGUGGCGGACGGGUGAGUAAUGCUUGGGAACUUGCCUUUGCGAGGGGGAUAACAGUUGGAAACGACUGCUAAUACCGCAUAAUGUCUACGGACCAAANNGGGCUUCGGCUCUGGCGCAAAGAGAGGCCCAAGUGAGAUUAGCUAGUUGGUGAGGUAAAGGCUCACCAAGGCAACGAUCUCUAGCUGUUCUGAGAGGAAGAUCAGCCACACUGGGACUGAGACACGGCCCAGACUCCUACGGGAGGCAGCAGUGGGGAAUAUUGCACAAUGGGGGAAACCCUGAUGCAGCCAUGCCGCGUGUGUGAAGAAGGCCUUCGGGUUGUAAAGCACUUUCAGUUGUGAGGAAAAGUUAGUAGUUAAUACCUGCUAGCCGUGACGUUAACAACAGAAGAAGCACCGGCUAACUCCGUGCCAGCAGCCGCGGUAAUACGGAGGGUGCGAGCGUUAAUCGGAAUUACUGGGCGUAAAGCGCACGCAGGCGGUUUGUUAAGCUAGAUGUGAAAGCCCCGGGCUCAACCUGGGACGGUCAUUUAGAACUGGCAGACUAGAGUCUUGGAGAGGGGAGUGGAAUUCCAGGUGUAGCGGUGAAAUGCGUAGAUAUCUGGAGGAACAUCAGUGGCGAAGGCGACUCCCUGGCCAAAGACUGACGCUCAUGUGCGAAAGUGUGGGUAGCGAACAGGAUUAGAUACCCUGGUAGUCCACACCGUAAACGCUGUCUACUAGCUGUUUGUGACUUUAAGUCGUGAGUAGCGAAGCUAACGCGAUAAGUAGACCGCCUGGGGAGUACGGCCGCAAGGUUAAAACUCAAAUGAAUUGACGGGGGCCCGCACAAGCGGUGGAGCAUGUGGUUUAAUUCGAUGCAACGCGAAGAACCUUACCUA
RNAcentral lists this ribosomal RNA (923 nucleotides) under Alteromonas sp. RNAcentral's name for it is "bacterial SSU rRNA". It matches the Rfam family "Bacterial small subunit ribosomal RNA", at positions 56 to 977 of the family's 1533-position model. The record is from RNAcentral. Lineage: Bacteria; Pseudomonadati; Pseudomonadota; Gammaproteobacteria; Alteromonadales; Alteromonadaceae.